UGAUAAUAUAAGGAAGAUUCCACGAGACAUACAGCUUAAUUCAUUCGAUAUUGUAGCAGACUUGAAUUCGAUAAUAUAAUGGCCUUUCCAUGGCUUCAUUUCCUCUGAAUUUCCUGCAUUGACAGACGACGUCGUUUUCAUCAUUUCUCAUCUCAAUCACUCUCUCUAUAUAUAUUGAUAAACAAGGCAAUAUAAGCAAUUAGCAAAAAAUCAUAAUAAUAUCAAGAUGAAGAUGAGGCAGCUAUCAUGGAUGGUCUUAAGCUUCUUAUUUGCUUUUCUUAUUCUGUCGUCUCAACAUCCCUCCUUUGCCGCCCGCCCCGGCCCCCGCCGCUUCUGUAGUAAAUAUGAAGAAGAAGAACGAGGUGCUCUGGACUGUAUCCCAAAACGAGCCCCUCCAUCCCCAGCAGGAGGUGUGCGUGGACAUCCUUAACAAGAGACAGUACAAGAAAUAAUAGUUAUAGAGGCGACUCUAGGUCGCUUUUUGAAAUUUUAUAAUAUGAUAACAUUGGUUGUGCCUAUUUCGGUUGAUGUGAGAAUAUUGUAUUUUACUAUUUUCAUCACAAUGUAUCUUGAAUUACUAUUUUCACAUUUAUAUUCUUCUCAAUAAAUUUUUGUCAUUUUAUUUCUUGUUCGAGUGAUAUAUAAUUUAUGAGAUUACAUAUAGUAUAAUGAGUAUUUGGUAUAAUAAAAUAAAAUAAAAUAUAUUGCAGUAUA
Humulus lupulus (European hop) is the source of this 714-nucleotide long non-coding RNA. RefSeq lists it as uncharacterized. The record is from RefSeq and is a predicted model, not a curated record. Lineage: Eukaryota; Viridiplantae; Streptophyta; Magnoliopsida; Rosales; Cannabaceae. The transcript is spliced from 2 exons.